AAUACAAAAAAAAUUGUUUGAAGGUUGAUCUGGACAGCAUAGACGUGAAUGAGUUUCCGAAGGUGCAGGACCUGGAAUUUAUGGACUGCAUUUUAGAGGAAGGCGAAAUGCUCUAUAUACCUCCGAAAUGGUGGCAUUAUGUUCGAUCUCUUACCAAAAGCUUUUCGGUUAGCUUUUGGUGGAGUGACAGUUGAAAAGUUCUCCAGGUUCCUGAUUUUCUGAAGAAAAUCAGAGGAAGAAGGAGGAGAAGAAGAAGAAGAACUGGAGGGGAGGGGGCUAACAAAAUCGGGCUGGAGGCGGAGGUGGAGGCGGGGCCGGAGGCAACGGCGGUUGGAGGCGAGGCUGCGAUGAGCUGCGGUGGGGCUGCGACGAGCUGUUGCUGCGACAAUCGGAGCUGCUACGACGGUCGGCCGGUCGAUCUGCCAUCAAUCGGCGACGGCAGAGGUGGAAGGAGGGGCCCUCUCUCUCUCUCUCCAUUCCCUCAUCUCUCUUCUCUCCCUCUGUUUCCCUCUCUCCUCUCCUCGCCUCUCUUUCUCCCUCUCUCUCUCUCUUGCCUUCGAUUUCUUCAGAUUCGGGAGAAUGAUUUUUCGGGGAAAAAAUCAUUUCUCUAUUUUUAUAGAGACUGUAGAUAGUUAUUUUAGACUGACACUUUUGGAUUUAGUGAUUGAUCAUAAUAUAAAGUUAUAAGGAAAAGAAUUGUUGACA
Molecule: non-coding RNA, 705 nt
Organism: Camellia sinensis
Lineage: Eukaryota; Viridiplantae; Streptophyta; Magnoliopsida; Ericales; Theaceae
Source: RefSeq, a predicted model, not a curated record